This 497-nucleotide ribosomal RNA is filed under the name uncultured bacterium. RNAcentral's name for it is "partial 16S ribosomal RNA". It matches the Rfam family "Bacterial small subunit ribosomal RNA", at positions 28 to 507 of the family's 1533-position model. The record is from RNAcentral.
GACGAACGCUGGCGGCGUGCCUAAUACAUGCAAGUUGAGCGCUGAAGGUUGGUACUUGUACCAACUGGAUGAGCAGCGAACGGGUGAGUAACGCGUGGGGAAUCUGCCUUUGAGCGGGGGACAACAUUUGGAAACGAAUGCUAAUACCGCAUAAAAACUUUAAACACAAGUUUUAAGUUUGAAAGAUGCAAUUGCAUCACUCAAAGAUGAUCCCGCGUUGUAUUAGCUAGUUGGUGAGGUAAAGGCUCACCAAGGCGAUGAUACAUAGCCGACCUGAGAGGGUGAUCGGCCACAUUGGGACUGAGACACGGCCCAAACUCCUACGGGAGGCAGCAGUAGGGAAUCUUCGGCAAUGGACGAAAGGCUGACCGAGCAACGCCGGGGGAGUGAAGAAGGUUGUCGGAUCGUAAAACUCUGUUGGUAGAGAAGAACGUUGGUGAGAGUGGAAAGCUCAUCAAGUGACGGUAACUACCCAGAAAGGGACGGCUAACUACGUG